GGGUCGAUGAAGAACGCAGCCAGCUGCGUGAAGUAAUGUGAAUUGCAGGACACAUUGAACAUCGAUAUCUUGAACGCACAUUGCGGCCUCGGGUAUUCCCGAGGCCACGCCUGUCUCAGGGUCGGUUGAACUUAUCAAUCGUCGGUUGUCCGUCCGUUUGCCGACGCAUUGGAUCGUCGCGGCGCGUUGACCGAAAAGGCUCGAACAGCAGCACGACGUCGGUUGUCCUUCAAUUGCCGAUGUUGAUGCUGCUCGACAGCUGCGCGCCACGUCGUCCGAAGUACAGACGGGUCCGCCGAUGCUACGCCGCCGGCCGCACGUCCUAAGUCCGCCAGUCGUGGACGGGGACGGCGACUCGGAUACAAUAAUCCAGGAAGCCGUCGCCCGUCGUGGCGGUACGGCCGGCAGUGGCUCAUUCGGUGGACCCACGAAGACGAAUGUGCGAGUGGGAGGAGGGUACUGUGGGUGUGAGUGAGUGAGUGAGUGCGGAACGGCGGCGGCGAAAGCUGUUGCUGUGACGCGAGAGCUCGCCGCGCUCGCAUUUCCUCCUCCUGUUCGCUCCUCUCUUCGACCUGAGAUCAGACGAGAUUACCCGCUGAAUUUAAGCAUAU
This 611-nucleotide unclassified non-coding RNA is filed under the name Tubifex ignotus. RNAcentral's name for it is "sequence contains ITS2". The stretch from base 4 to 124 matches the Rfam family "5.8S ribosomal RNA", at positions 33 to 154 of the family's 154-position model. The record is from RNAcentral. Lineage: Eukaryota; Metazoa; Annelida; Clitellata; Tubificida; Naididae.